This 439-nucleotide ribosomal RNA is filed under the name uncultured bacterium. RNAcentral's name for it is "partial 16S ribosomal RNA". It matches the Rfam family "Bacterial small subunit ribosomal RNA", at positions 339 to 795 of the family's 1533-position model. The record is from RNAcentral.
CUACGGGGGGCUCCAGUGAGGAAUAUUGCACAAUGGGGGGAACCCUGAUGCAGCAACGCCGCGUGGAGGAUGACGCAUUUCGGUGUGUAAACUCCUUUUAUAUGUCAAGAAAAUGACGGUAGCAUAUGAAUAAGCACCGGCUAACUCCGUGCCAGCAGCCGCGGUAAUACGGAGGGUGCAAGCGUUACUCGGAAUCACUGGGCGUAAAGGACGCGUAGGCGGGUUGGAAAGUCAGGUGUGAAAUCCUACAGCUUAACUGUAGAACUGCACUUGAAACUUCUAAUCUAGAGUAUGGGAGGGGGAGAUGGAAUUAGCGGUGUAGGGGUAAAAUCCGUAGAUAUCACUAGGAAUACCUAAAGCGAAGGCGAUCUCCUGGAACAUUACUGACGCUAGGGCGUGAAAGCGUGGGGAGCAAACAGGAUUAGAUACCCGCGUAGUC